AGGAAGAAUUUCAUACAAUACAGGUGAUUGAGUUAGUGUUUACAAAAACAAAACACUCAGGCAACCUCAAUCUUGAUUUCUCCUAUGAUAUUCAGUCUUGCAUAGAUACAGUUUAUAGGCAAGCAAUAAACACCAAGAUUUUUGAAGUAUGCAUGAAAAUUGCUGCAAUGCUUUUCAAUGGACAGUGAUAACAGCAAGCCUGUGCCUUAAUCUGCCUGUGCUCUGAAGACUGGUUCAUUGAACUGUUCUGAGAGCUAUCAGUGCAGAUAUAGUCUUGCAACAGCUGUUAUAGCAGCAUCUGUGACCAAGAUAAAGGCUAUUGAAGUUUCUGUGCCACAAGUAAAUUUCAGUGAAAGUUAAUAGAGUGAGAGCAUUCCUCAAACUGCAACAGAAUCAGCUAUUUCUCCACCAACAAAGUCUUUGUUCUUUAGCCUAGAGUCUUUUCUUUAACACAUCUGGUAAACCAAGCUAGUCUUUCAGGAAAUGGAGAAACAAAAUUACCUAAUCCUGUAGUAGAAGUCAAGAGGACAUCCUCACCUCAUAAAGAGGAAUA
Molecule: long non-coding RNA, 553 nt
Filed under: Homo sapiens (human)
Lineage: Eukaryota; Metazoa; Chordata; Mammalia; Primates; Hominidae
Description: non-protein coding lnc-TMEM47-1:1
Source: RNAcentral